This 406-nucleotide ribosomal RNA is filed under the name uncultured bacterium. Its description in RNAcentral is "partial 16S ribosomal RNA". It matches the Rfam family "Bacterial small subunit ribosomal RNA", at positions 29 to 526 of the family's 1533-position model. The record is from RNAcentral.
AUUGAACGCUGGCGGCAGGCCUAACACAUGCAAGUCGAGCGAGCGGCGGACGGGUGAGUAAUGUCUGGGAAACUGCCUGAUGGAGGGGGAUAACUACUGGAAACGGUAGCUAAUACCGCAUACCAUCGGAUGUGCCCAGAUGGGAUUAGCGAGUAGGUGGGGUAACGGCUCACCUAGGCGACGAUCCCUAGAUGGUCUGAGAGGAUGACCAGCCACACUGGAACUGGGACACGGUCCAGACGCCUACGUGAGGAAGGAGUGGGGAAUAUUGCACAAUGGGCGCAAGACUGAUGCAGCCAUGCCGCGGGUAUGAAGAAGGCCUUCGGGUUGUAAAGUACUUUCAGCGGGGAGGCGUUACCCGCAGAAGAAGCACCGGCUAACUCCGUGCCAGCAGCCGCGGUAAUAC